Molecule: long non-coding RNA, 358 nt
Filed under: Hordeum vulgare
Lineage: Eukaryota; Viridiplantae; Streptophyta; Magnoliopsida; Poales; Poaceae
Description: long non-coding RNA (HVUL_LNC018376)
Source: RNAcentral
GGAUAACAUCACGAUGGAGAAAUUAAUACUUCUAGUUGUGAUAUAACAACAACCCAAUUGUGGGAUGCCUGCCUCAUACGUACCUAACAUCAGUUUCUUCACUACAGAACCAACUUACAGGUGUUCAUCCUGAUCACAAGCCACUGCCAAACACAAAAGGCAGAGGAGCUCACAGAACCAACACGAGUAAGCUCAUAUUACAGUCACAGUAUCCUCCUACCGUUGAUUGAUCUCAGUAUAUCCAUAACCUCACACGUACCUUUGCCUUGCUUUUAACUAGUUCAUAUUACAGCAAAUAAUGUACGCAAAACUGUACCUCUGCCUUGCUUGUAACUAGUGUAAAACCAUUUAGUUUCGG